RNAcentral lists this ribosomal RNA (890 nucleotides) under Trichoderma harzianum. RNAcentral's name for it is "partial large subunit ribosomal RNA". It matches the Rfam family "Eukaryotic large subunit ribosomal RNA", at positions 20 to 940 of the family's 3401-position model. Lineage: Eukaryota; Fungi; Ascomycota; Sordariomycetes; Hypocreales; Hypocreaceae. The record is from RNAcentral.
AAUUCCCGCUGAACUUAAGCAUAUCAAUAAGCGGAGGAAAAGAAACCAACAGGGAUUGCCCCAGUAACGGCGAGUGAAGCGGCAACAGCUCAAAUUUGAAAUCUGGUCCCUAGGGCCCGAGUUGUAAUUUGUAGAGGAUGCUUUUGGUGAGGUGCCGCCCGAGUUCCCUGGAACGGGACGCCACAGAGGGUGAGAGCCCCGUCUGGCUGGCCGCCGAGCCUCUGUAAAGCUCCUUCGACGAGUCGAGUAGUUUGGGAAUGCUGCUCAAAAUGGGAGGUAUAUGUCUUCUAAAGCUAAAUAUUGGCCAGAGACCGAUAGCGCACAAGUAGAGUGAUCGAAAGAUGAAAAGCACCUUGAAAAGAGGGUUAAAUAGUACGUGAAAUUGUUGAAAGGGAAGCGCUUGUGACCAGACUUGGGCGCGGCGGAUCAUCCGGGGUUCUCUCCGGUGCACUUCGCCGCGUCUAGGCCAGCAUCAGUUCGUCGCGGGGGAAAAAGGCUUCGGGAACGUGGCUCCUCCGGGAGUGUUAUAGCCCGUUGCAUAAUACCCUGCGGUGGACUGAGGACCGCGCAUCUGCAAGGAUGCUGGCGUAAUGGUCACCAGCGACCCGUCUUGAAACACGGACCAAGGAGUCGUCUUCGUAUGCGAGUGUUCGGGUGUCAAACCCCUACGCGUAAUGAAAGUGAACGCAGGUGAGAGCUUCGGCGCAUCAUCGACCGAUCCUGAUGUUCUCGGAUGGAUUUGAGUAAGAGCAUACGGGGCCGGACCCGAAAGAAGGUGAACUAUGCCUGUAUAGGGUGAAGCCAGAGGAAACUCUGGUGGAGGCUCGCAGCGGUUCUGACGUGCAAAUCGAUCGUGAAAUAUGGGCAUGGGGGCGAAAGACUAAUCGAAC